AACAAAAGGAAGUUGAAAUAUAAAAUAGAAAAGCAAGCUUGUUUUUCUCCCCUGGAGAGCUCUGGGCUUUGGAGAAAUCAUAGGAAUCACAGAGGAAAAAGAGAAAAGGAAGUCAGUCUCCCCCUGCCAAGACUCAGGGGACAGAAAGUAAGAAAGGAAUCAGGCUGGAAGAAAAACAUUGCAGCAGAGAGAGUCAUCAGAGAGCUGGAAGCCAAGUGCCCUCCUCCACGUUCUCUCUACUGUGCCAUGUGGCUUGUGUUGAUACAGACCCUUGGGCUGGACCAAUCCUGGAAGAUCAAGAGCUGACUGGUGAGCCCAGGGCGAAAGUGGUGGGGAUAGGGUGAGAGGCGCAAUGCUCUGGGAUUUGUAGAAAAGUCAGGGUGGAGCCAGCACCCCUUUCUGUACCCUCCACUCACAUAGCACUAUGAUCCUAUAGGAGGCCCGGGGGAAGAAAGGGCUGCACAGAGUCAGCACAGAGAGGAGCAUUCUUGAGAAACAAGGACACGGAUGUUUAUUUGGGAGGUGAUCCCCUGAAGCACAGUGAUGAAGUAAGCAAGGUUAGACAUAGAAGACAAAGAAACAAUAAAGUGAAUGCUCUGAUGAAUGGGUUACUGUCAUGGGCAACUACGGUUGAUCCUUGGCAGCUUUCUGAAAACCAUGUGGCCCUUGCCUCAAAAUCAUGC
This 683-nucleotide long non-coding RNA is filed under the name Macaca mulatta (Rhesus monkey). RNAcentral describes it as "lncRNA (ENSMMUG00000043504.2)". Lineage: Eukaryota; Metazoa; Chordata; Mammalia; Primates; Cercopithecidae. The record is from RNAcentral.